AGAAGAACUGUCCAAUAUAGGACAUUUAUAUUGGCCUUUAUGAAAGCAAGAAAUAAUAAAGUUUUAUUCGGUCAAGCCAUGAAAUUUUAGCGUUUGUUACUGAAGCAGCUAGCAUUAAUUCUGCUGACUCAUAUACUUCUCAAUAAUCCAGCACAGUAAUAACAAUAGCCUUUCAGAGAAGUAUCUUAAAAUUGCCUAAAGUUAUACAAUAAAUUAGGCAGUAUAUAAUGGGUUAAUCAAGUCAAAAGAGUUUAGUUUUAACCCCAGAAUGGAGAAACUUGGAUAUUAUGUCACGGUGUAAACACAUAAAGGGAUCUUUACAAAGCCAUGACAGAAAUACACAUUUGGUCUGUCAACACACACACACACACACACACACACAAACACACACACACACACACACAUCUAAAGUUUGUAUUCAUUUUGUUUUUCUGAACCAUGUGAUGAAUCACAGUGAUUUAAGUGAGUUAAGAAUAAGGGGAAAUUACCAACGUCGGAAAAAUAUUAGUUGACCCUUAUCCCUGCCAAUUUAUAGCGAGUAUAAUGGAUUAUGAGCAUUAAAAAAUGAAAAAAUUCACCGUAAUGUUAAAUGGUAGUUGCUAUAGAAUAUGUUUGAAUAAAAAAAUUACUAAUGAGGCAGUCUAGGUCUCAAGGCAGCUAUCCAAAUGCCAAGUACAACUGAAAUAGUGCUGCAGAUCAGAGAGUUAGUAGCAACACAAACACCAGUGAACAGACUUGCCAGACCAUAAAGAGAGCUGUGUGAGCUAAGUGUGUUACCUGGAGAUGGAAGCAUUAGGCUAUCACAGUUCACAAUAUGCAUUAAUGUCCUAAUGAGAAAUGUAAUCCCAAGCUACUUGCCUAGUUGUUAUUUCCAAGGAUGACUAAUCAUAGAGGGAAUUAAGAAACGAAAUACAUUAGAAUUAGUGUCAUUAUAGAAAUCAAACUGUACUUGUUUAAGGGGAAAAAUAACAACCAUAAGAUUUUUUUUAACCAAGAGUUUGCACAGAUUUAUUGGCUGCUUUUCUUUGAAUAUUGGAGUUAUAUUCAGCUUUACUGACAAUGUAUUAUGAUCAGAGAGAAUUUUGGAUUUUUCUCUUCUAUUCAGACAUGAUUAGGUCCUGACUGUAGACAUGAACAAUAGGCAACUGGAAACAAAUGGCCCUAAUGUCACAAGAGAGAUAAAACAGAUCUAAAAUGCUACUUCCCAUAGGUGUUCAUCAAAGCCUGAUUUAGUCAUUGCAGAAGGACUGUGGGUCUAGGCUUGGGUUUAUGUUCGCUUUUACAAGAUAUUUCAGCCAUUAUCCUGAUAACAGACAAUCUUUGGGGAUGUUAUUAGAUCCUUCCCUCCUUUUUUUCCUUCUGUUCUUUUUCCCUCCUUCUUCCCUCCUUCCCUUCCUUCUUCUUUCCCUCCAUCCUCCUUUCUUAAUAGAUGUGGACAAUGCUGUAGGUGAUCUUUAAAGUACUUUAAAUGUUCAGAGGCAUUUCAAACACCUUUUGUUUCACAAAGAUAAAACAUUGUUUACAUACUUCUAGGACAAGAAUAAGCAAUAUAUGACACACAGAAGGACUAGGGGGAAAAUAGGUUUUUUUCCUCUUAUUUUCUUCAAUAUUUUCUUUUGUCACUCCCAGUCACCAUCCUCCCUUUCCAUCUACUCUCCCCUAACAGGUUGUUUUUCCCCUCAUCUACAAAAUGGGGAUAAUAACACUCACCCCACAAUAGGACCUGACGUGAUAGAUCUGUACAUCACAGAAUACAAUGCAUGGGAAUUACCUAUGGCAGACUGUGGCCCAUCCUAGACACCCAGUGAUUAUGAACUCUUUGGCAGCUCAUUUCUUCUCAACCUUGCAAUAGCCAGUAUCUAGGUUUUUAAUUAUUUUUGAAAAAUUUUCAUAACUUCCUACUUCAUCAGCUGGGAACUGGUCUUUCUGAAUUGCCUUAGUUUUAGAUAAAGGCUCUUGUGGGUCCAGGAUGGUGGGGAAGAACAAUUUCCCUCUGUUUGCUGGCCUAACAAGGAUAAAUGACUCUAUCUCUGUGGUUUAUGUUGAAUGCCUGAUAAUGCAUCUCCAAGAGAAGCACUUAGCAAGAAAACUCAUAAAUAUGGCUAUAAUGUUUAUUCAAAGUACUCUAUUUGCAAGGCCAAGUAUACAAAUGAAGGAUGAAAACAGACAAAAUGUGUCACUAACAUUAGCCUGUGCUGUUUGUGAGGCAGGUAGUAAUAAUACAGGUAGUGUUUUCUCUUAUUGCUUGUUUUUCAGGGAGUUUUAGUUACAUAACAAAGAUUUAUUGUAAGAAUAAGAAACUUACUCUCUUCCAUCUUAUGGGAUGUCUGCUGGUCUGGGAAUGCAGGUCAUAGAGACGCAUUACCAAAAGUGUAUGUUUUAGAAGGUUCUUUGUCUCCCAAGCCUUGAUAUUUGCAUAAUAUAUAAAGUCAAUUUAUACUCCUUAAUCAUACACAAAUACUGCAUCUCUUUCCCUUAGCAUCCUAGCAAUCAUGUUCCUGCAGGAAUGGAAUAGAACCUAGAGUUUAUUUACUUUUAAAGAGAGACAAAUAAAAGAACAGAGAAUAACUGAUCAUGAAAGUGAAACUCAAUUUAAUCC
This 2599-nucleotide long non-coding RNA is filed under the name Homo sapiens (human). RNAcentral describes it as "HSALNT0359840". Lineage: Eukaryota; Metazoa; Chordata; Mammalia; Primates; Hominidae. The record is from RNAcentral.